This 504-nucleotide ribosomal RNA is filed under the name uncultured bacterium. Its description in RNAcentral is "partial 16S ribosomal RNA". It matches the Rfam family "Bacterial small subunit ribosomal RNA", at positions 30 to 523 of the family's 1533-position model. The record is from RNAcentral.
AUUGAACGCUGGCGGCAGGCCUAACACAUGCAAGUCGAACGGUAGCACAGAGAGCUUGCUCUUGGGUGACGAGUGGCGGACGGGUGAGUAAUGUCUGGGAAACUGCCUGAUGGAGGGGGAUAACUACUGGAAACGGUAGCUAAUACCGCAUAACGUUGCAAGACCAAAGAGGGGGACCUGCGGGCCUCUUGCCAUCAGAUGUGCCCAGAUGGGAUGAGCUAGUAGGUGGGGUAACGGCUCACCUAGGCGACGAUCCCUAGCUGGUCUGAGAGGAUGACCAGCCACACUGGAACUGAGACACGGUCCAGACUCCUACGGGAGGCAGCAGUGGGGAAUAUUGCACAAUGGGCGCAAGCCUGAUGCAGCCAUGCCGCGUGUAUGAAGAAGGCCUUCGGGUUGUAAAGUACUUUCAGCGGGGAGGAAGGCGAUACGGUUAAUAACCGUGUCGAUUGACGUUACUCGCAGAAGAAGCACCGGCUAACUCCGUGCCAGCCGCCGCCGUAA